RNAcentral lists this ribosomal RNA (1785 nucleotides) under Triticum aestivum (bread wheat). Its description in RNAcentral is "partial small subunit ribosomal RNA". The record is from RNAcentral. Lineage: Eukaryota; Viridiplantae; Streptophyta; Magnoliopsida; Poales; Poaceae.
AUGGCCCUGCAGGGGAAGAAGCUCAUAAACAACCCCGACGAUGUGGUGACUGAGUUCAUCGAGGGGCUGGUGGAGACCUACCAGGGCCUGCAGUACCUGGACGGGUUCCCUGAGAUUAAAGUUGUUCUUCGCGCUGAUGCUGUGGGCGGUGCCUAUGACAAGGUUGCUGUCAUCUCAGGUGGUGGAAGUGGUCAUGAGCCAGCCCAUGCGGGAUUUGUUGGGCCAGGAAUGUUGACAGCUGCUGUUUCUGGAGAUGUUUUUGCUUCUCCACCUGUUGAUUCUAUUUUAGCUGCUAUUCGAGCUGUAACGGGCACCAUGGGAUGCCUUCUGAUAAUAAAGAACUACACUGGUGAUAGACUUAAUUUUGGAUUAGCUGCUGAGCAGGCAAAAUCUGAAGGCUAUAAGAUAGAGAUGGUAAUUGUUGGAGAUGAUUGUGCCCUUCCCCCGCCUCGGGGGAUAGCUGGUAGAAGAGGUUUAGCAGGAACAAUUCUUGUGCAUAAGGUUGCUGGGGCUGCUGCAGAUGCUGGCUUAUCUCUUGCAGAUGUUGCUGCAGAAGCAAAACAUGCAUCUGAGGCUGUUGGUACAAUGGGAGUAGCACUUUCUGUUUGCACGUUGCCUGGGCAAGUGACAUCUGAUCGUUUAGGUCCUGAGCAAAUUGAGCUUGGCCUUGGAAUUCAUGGAGAACCUGGUGCUGCUGUUGUUGAGCUACAGACGGUUGAUGUGGUGGUCGAACAUGUUCUUAAGCAGAUACUAUCACAGGAAACUCAGUAUCUUCCUAUCACAAGAGGGAGCAAUGCUGUUCUCCUAAUCAAUGGAUUAGGUGCUACUCCUGUCAUGGAGCUUAUGAUUGCAGCAAGAAAAGCGGUGCCUGAGUUACAGUUGGAGUAUGGGAUUGCUGUUGACAGAGUCUACACUGGCACAUUUAUGACAUCACUUGAUAUGGCUGGACUUUCUAUCACCAUUAUGCGAUCAGAUGAAAACAUUUUGCAGCGACUUGACGCUCCCACUAAAGCUCCAGCUUGGCCUGUUGGUUCUGAAGGAAAUCGCCCACCAGCAAAAUUCCCGGUUCCAGUACCACCAUCACCUUCAAUGAAGGAUGAUGAGAUUCUUUCAGAACGCCAGGAACUAAGCAAGCAAGGCUGUAUGUUGGAGGCCGCUAUUGAAGCAGCUGCUAAAGAACUCAUUGAUCUCAAGGAUAACCUAAAUGAUUGGGACAGUAAAGUCGGUGACGGUGACUGUGGAACUACGAUGUAUAGAGGUGCAACAGCUAUUCUUGAAGAUAUGAAAACACGUUAUCAUCUGAACGAUGCAGCUGGAACAGUAAAUGAGAUUGGGUCAACAAUCCGGAAGGUGAUGGGUGGAACAAGUGGAAUCCUGUAUGACAUACUCUGCAAGGCUGCAUAUGCAAGCUUAAAACAAAACAAAAAUAUUACGGCAUAUGAAUGGGCUGAUGCUUUAGAAGCCUCUAUUGCUGCUGUUAGCAAAUAUGGUGGUGCCAGAGCAGGAUAUCGCACAAUGUUGGAUGCUCUGAUUCCCGCUUCUACAGUUUUGAAACAGUCGCUUAAAGCUGGGGAUGAUCCGGUGACUGCAUUCAUCGCUUCUUCUGAAGCAGCAUUAGCUGGCGCUGAAUCCACUAAACAAAUGCAAGCAAAGGCAGGACGGUCAUCGUACAUCUCUCCCGACCAUCUGGUUUCAAUUCCUGACCCAGGAGCAAUGGCUGCAGCUGCAUGGUACCGGGCCGCAGCGCUUUCGGUGAAGAACAAGCUGCAUGCUUCAGAAAGCUAG